This is a long non-coding RNA of Mustela lutreola (European mink), 1092 nucleotides long. RefSeq lists it as uncharacterized. The record is from RefSeq and is a predicted model, not a curated record. Lineage: Eukaryota; Metazoa; Chordata; Mammalia; Carnivora; Mustelidae. The transcript has 3 exons.
UGGGAGGGGUUCGAGCCAGGCAGCCUGCGUGCUCCGGGGGCUGACGCAAUUGGAGAAUUUGGCUUCUUUUUAUCACAUAUAUCAUUUUGCCAUAUAUGGUCACCGAGAGCUACUGGCUGCGAGGCUCGGGCCCAGAUGGUGGGCUCCCAGAGCGAAGUGAGCCACAUACCAGCCCAGAACAAACAAGACCAUCGCUCACUCCGCUGGACAGGGAUGUCAAGGUUAACCCAGGCAGGACCAGCUCAGGGAGGAUCCUUGAGGUCGUGGAGAGAAAUGCUUUCGUUACACUGCUCGAUUUUAGUACCAAGCGCAUGGUGCCUCCCCCUUGCCCUCCGCCGUGCGCUGCCAGACGAGGGGUUUCAAAGCUUGCUUCUCCACAGAAUCAGCGCACGAAGCAAUGGUUGGCCCAAAGGAAGCAUUCACACGUACGGCGCACGAGUUAAAAAUCAAGAAACCGACUUUGAGAAACAAGACCCCUACAAGGCAAGACACAGACGCCCCUGGUUCCCGGUGCACAAAGGCUACACUCCCACGUUCCUGUCCUUCCCCCCUCCGUGAUUCCAGCACGAGGCAACUCUGCCUUUUUGCCUCACUGACUUGUUCUGUUGGCCACACUCCUCCUUCCCCUCUGAGAGAUCUGUGGCUCAGCUCUUUGGCCAUCCUUGGAACUCAUUUCCAGCACUUUCUGCAGUGCUGCCAAAGGAGCCAGUGGAGGGGGCCAUGGAGGCAUGGAGGCCAUUGGGGACACCAUAGGCUAGGUCUGAAGGUCAGGUCUGAAGGUCAAAGGGGCCAGUGCUUGCCAUGGUUCUGACCAUGAGGCUUCUUGCUCCAGGGCAGACAAGGGUCUCAGUAUGUUAUGGAGAAUGGGAAAUGUCAGCCACGAGACACCUCCCUGGGUGGAGGAGGAAGAAAUAGGUAAGGCAACCUUGGGAGGAACUCCUUUAAAGCUUCAGGAACCGGGUUCACCCAGAGAAUGGAGGUACUGGUGAGGCCCAGGUGAGGCAGGGGAUGCCAGGCAUGGGAGCAGCUCUGGUCUCCAGAUCCUCAUGGAUACGAUGGUCCAUUCUUUUUUUUUUUUUUUUUUUUAAGAUU